GUCAGUGUGGCCGAGUGGUUAAGGCGAUAGACUAGAAAUCUAUUUGGUUCGCCCGCACAGGUUCGAGUCCUGUCGCUGACG
This 81-nucleotide transfer RNA is filed under the name Aspergillus brasiliensis. Its description in RNAcentral is "tRNA-Ser". It matches the Rfam family "tRNA". From Rfam's summary of the family: Transfer RNA (tRNA) molecules are approximately 80 nucleotides in length. Lineage: Eukaryota; Fungi; Ascomycota; Eurotiomycetes; Eurotiales; Aspergillaceae. The record is from RNAcentral.